This 1172-nucleotide long non-coding RNA is filed under the name Phaseolus vulgaris (common bean). RNAcentral's name for it is "long non-coding RNA (PVUL_LNC004073)". The record is from RNAcentral. Lineage: Eukaryota; Viridiplantae; Streptophyta; Magnoliopsida; Fabales; Fabaceae.
UAAAUUUGUAAAAUAUCAUUUUACACUUUUAAAAAAAUUAAAAAUUCUCUCAUCACAUCACUCACAAAUUUUCAUAAGUUUUCUUCACACAUUCACUCUACCAUACUUCAAUCCAAACAACCUCACUUUCUUUACACUUUUAUCCUUACACAUUCAUUCUCUCAAAUCCUCACGCAUCCCCACCCAAAUCCAAACACACCCCAAGCCCCUGUUUGGAUUGGGGGGUGGCACUGUAGCCGUAGACGGAUGUGGAGUGCCACCCCCGUUUGGAUCUGGUCAUGGUUGAGGGUGUGGGUGAGGGUGAGGUGAAAGUUAGGCCAAAUGAGAGAGCAUUCAGAAGUGAAGAGAAAGGAGAGGGUGAGGGAGUGAGUGCCAUGUAGGAUGGAGUGAAAUAUCAUUUGUGCCCUCACUUUAUUUUUGGACGUAUGUGGGCAUUGUACGUGAAGCAUGCAUGCGCAUCUGUGAAGACAAGCUUUUCAGCAGCAAAUGAGAUUCCUGAACAAGUCAGGAAUCUGUUUGACCAAGUUCAAAGCUCAAUAAAUGCAUAGGCAAGUUGGUGAGAGAGGGUAAUAAAGAGCUCCAACAAUAUAUAUGUGGUUCCCAAGCUCACAAAUCUCACAAACCUCACAAAGCAGAGACAAUUCGGUUGUUCACAAAGCACAUACAUAGAGAGCUUGGAGAGGGUCGUGAGUGCGCUUGAUUCUUCGUUUGUGACCUCAGGUGAGCUGUGUGUGAGUUUGGUUUCAUUCUUAAUCGAUUAUCACUGAAAAUGAGUGUAUGCCAUAAUCGAUUAUGUGGAAAAAAAUAGUUCAUAAUCGAUUAUGUUCAUCACAUAAUCGAUUAUGUGUAAAAAAUUUCCGUGAGAUAAUCGAUUAUGGUCGUUUUUGCACUAGAAGCAUAAUCGAUUAUGUGCCAUAAAGAUUUGGAUAAUCGAUUAUGUCCUAUUUUGCACUAGGGUGAUAAUCGAUUAUGGUUCUAAUUUUCCAUAUUUAUGAUUUUAUGUUUUUUGAACUAAUUUUUUAAUGAUUUUUUUUCCAUACACAGUUUGAUCAAUCUUAGACUUGCAUUGUGUUGCGGUUUUGUUAUGCUCUCUUGAGAUAUGUGUUUUUUUUUUGGAUGUUUAGUUUUAUUUUGAAUUUAAUCUGUUUAAAUUAUUUUAAAGUAGUUGUUAA